This is a non-coding RNA of Poecilia reticulata (guppy), 540 nucleotides long. Lineage: Eukaryota; Metazoa; Chordata; Actinopteri; Cyprinodontiformes; Poeciliidae. The record is from RefSeq and is a predicted model, not a curated record.
GGAAUGGGAGUCACAUGUGUGUCAAUCAGACUCUUCUGGAACGUUCUGAUGUCCGUGAUGAGGACAGUGAUGCAACUGUGUCUGCAUCCAGGACCUACUGCCARUCAUCCAGAUGUAGCUAAAGAAAGAAGCAGCUGGUGGAGGAAGGCAGAGAGUACUGGCAGCAGAGGAGGUGGCAUUCUGGGAGAAUGGCAGCUAUGAGGCGGUGUCAGGAUGGACCCCAAGUUUCUCCAACCAGGAGUGACAUCAGGACUACAAGACAGGAAGAGCGUCAGGUCUACGCUACAGGAGAGACGUUGGGCCUGUCUUGAACGCAGCAUAAUGUUUGAUCUUGUUUGGACAAAAAACACUGCCAGAUGGUCCAGAAAUGGACAAGCAUUUAUGUCUUAUUUUGUGUGCAAACAGUAAAAAAAAAAAAAAAAUGAAAUAAAGAAAAUAAAACUGUCUCUUAUGUUCCUCAUAUAGGAACAUGUUGCAUAUAAGCAAUAUCAAAUGAAUAUAUUUUAAUACAGCAUUUAUUUUUUAUAUAGAAUUUUUAAA